CAGAAAAUGGCCGGAAAGGAGAUGAAACAAGCUCUUACCGAUGGCGGAAAAGAGGAAGAAAUUGCCUCAGCUUCGACGACGACAGAAGGGGACCAUCGCCGGCGCAAAAAUUUGAUUGUUUUUAUAUUGCCGAAGUUAAACAGAUUAUUGGGAUCAAUUUCAUGGAGACAACUGACGAAAUGUCCAGUUCUUAAACUCUAAAGUUUUUGAAAUCAGAAUCAUCCUGAAGAAUGACAGAUCAAGCUGAAAGGAACAUCUGAAAAUCAUACUAGCACUCAUUUUGCUUCAGAAACACUGUCUGAAUUUUGUUUCAAUGUGUCUAUGUAUCUUCCUUCUAGGAUGUCAUUAUCUGAAAGGAACUUCAGAAAAUCUUCAAAGCUGCCUUCUUUGUAGGACGAUGGAUGUCCCUCAUCCACUAGGUCUGGAGCAGGCUGCCAUUUCUCAUUGUUGCCCAUCACUUCUAGACCCUCUUGAUUUUGGAGGAUGAUUGUUAACAAUCCAUAAUCCGAGUGCCGGGGGAGGCCCAGAGCUAAUUUUGGUUCUGGGCAAGCAGGGUAGCAAUUCACGGCUAAGACUUGGGAGCCUUGCUCCACAUCAUUCUGCAAGUAGUCUGAUCGUAGACCCAAACUCUCAAAUAUUAUCUGCAUUAGCUUUGUAUGCAAAAGAAGCACAGCCUUGGCAUAGUUUCCCAUUUUCUUCCUACAAAAUCAAUUCAUACUCUUUGAGUUCCACCUUUUAUGUUUUGACUUGGGAUAGUGAUGAUAAGGCAAAAUAAGAAUGUCAGUAUAGGAGUAUAUUUUAUUGAACGUGGCAUAUUAUGUUAUACGACUAGUUAUUAGUUGUGCAAGGACUGAAUCGUGUUGCUUACUUGUAAGUUGGAGGCUCUGAUGGCCACAAGUCGAUCCAAGUUGAAAUUGGGUUGGCGUAGUGUUUGAUGAAGUCUCUCCAAUAUUGAACUUUAUCCUUGACUUGAUUUAAACUUGUCCCGUACCUUACAGGUUCAUGAACAUUAGUUGAGGCAAGCCGCAUCUUUGUGUCAUUUGGCAUCUCAAAGAAAUCUUCUGCAACAUCUAGAGCCUCAUCCGUUAAUGAAACAUGAAUUCCAUGAUUGAUCACCUGCAGGGGAUAAAAGAAUUUUUUAGCACAUAUUCUUAGAAUAGAGUGGUUAAACUGUGCAUGAUGUGCUAUAAGUCAAACUGCUUUUUAGUUGACUGCUCUUGCAAUGAGAAGCCAUUAUAAGUACCACGGAAGAUGGAAUUCUUUAGUGAAUUUGCCUAAACUGCUUCAGGAUCACACUUUGUUUUACUUUCUUCACUAGCAAUGCACUCUCAUUAUUGAUGUUAAACCAUGCAAUGCACUCUCAUUACUUAUUAGGAAUUUUACACUGUUAGUUAUGGCCUAAAAUCUGUUUUGUCGUUCAGGUGGCUUUUAUGCAAUUAUAUGUGAUUAUUAACAUACCUGAAAACCUCCGAAUUCCUUGCAAGCCACUUGCACUUGUUCAGUCACCUGUGAUUGAAGAACUGGGUUCUCGAAAGAGGAGAGAUCUAUGACUGGCAAAGCACUGAAGGAGGAAGGUGGCGUCAGCUCAAGGGUAGGGCGAUCCGCUGGAGGAAGAAUGUAGCUCUCAGGAACAGUGCUUAUACCCAUUUGUGCAAGUGUCAUUGUGCUUGUGAAAUACUGAUCAUCUGUGGGUUACAUUGAAUGUAGGAAGCAUUUAUGUGCUCAUGCCAAUGAGUAGAUCACUUGCCGUUAGAAUUGAUAUUUUGUUUCAUUCAAAGGUGGAGAGAGAGAGAGAGAGACAAAAGGAUGGCUGUCACCACUUCUUCCACUUGGAUAUUUUAUUACGCGGGAAAUAAGUUCACGUGGAGUGAUGGUCAUUUCAUUUCAAAUAAUGUGAUAACGCUGAUGUCGUAAUUUACUUUGUUAUUUCGGGAGAUGCUCUGUUUUGGGGCCUUAGUAGUAUCCUUGGAAAUUGCUUUGCUCUUGGUUGAAAAAGGCAACUAUAGUGACGUUAAAUUUGAUUCCUAUUUUUGCGUUUUGGAAAAUGAAAUAAAAACCAUGCAUUUUGAAUUGGA
Salvia hispanica is the source of this 2075-nucleotide non-coding RNA. The record is from RefSeq and is a predicted model, not a curated record. NCBI's taxonomy places the organism in Eukaryota, Viridiplantae, Streptophyta, Magnoliopsida, Lamiales, Lamiaceae.